Molecule: non-coding RNA, 2117 nt
Organism: Sesamum indicum (sesame)
Lineage: Eukaryota; Viridiplantae; Streptophyta; Magnoliopsida; Lamiales; Pedaliaceae
Source: RefSeq, a predicted model, not a curated record
CCAUUUGUAAUCUGCAGUACUCUCGUUUUAUUUGUUGCAUUAUCUCGUCUGUUGUGAUUUUCUCAUCCUUCUUCAUCUUUAUUAUUCAGUGCUCCUCUAGCUCGAAUAAAUGGACUGGUAUUUGCAACUUGCUUUGCAGAUUCUUCAAGUUUAUCGAAUGCUGCAUUGCAUACUCCAAGCUCAUCCAACAUUUGCUGUGUAUAAAGGAUAUAAAGAUGCUUUUGCUGCCAUGAGAAUAGCAGAAAAGAAAUUUAUGUGUGUUUCAAGGUCCAGAAUACUGCUAGUGAAGCUACAGGUGCUACAUGAGUGUGCCUUACAUAGGGGACACUUAAAACUUGCUUAGCAAUUCUGUGAUGCGCUUGGUGUUUUGGCCUCUUGUGUAAGUGGUAUGGACAUGGAGUUAAAGAUGGAAGCUAGUCUCCGUCAUGCUCGGACAUUGCUUUCUGCCAACCAGUAUAGGUUAAGAGAAUCUUCCUGAUAUUUAUGUUCAAUAAAAUCAAUGAGAAAUCUCGAAUAUUGCUUAUUUUGGAUUUUUGGUUGGUGCUUCAUGUUAUGAUACCCAUGUAUACAAUUGAAUGCUAAUGUAUAAUUUCUUAGUUCAAACUCGAAAAAUUCAGGAAACUGAGAAAAUUUUGGACUUUCUGCAUUUGUAUUUCCAUCAGAACCCUGUUGAAGUAUUCUCCCAACCUCUGCCCGCUCUGCCCCCACGCGACGUUGAAGCUUCAGUAUUUUUAUGAAUUGGGACGAGUGAAAAUGGGUAUGGGUAGUAAUCUGUGGAGAUGGGACGAUUCUUCAGGUUGAAAAAUGGGGGAGGAUUAUGAAGCAUUGCAAUUGUGUAAUAUGGAUUCAAUGUAUUCAGAAACAAGUCCAUUCAGUGAAAGGUGGCAAUUUUUUGCAGUAUGUCAUUGUCCAUUGAGGACUUGGUGCGAAGAAAUGGCAAAAGACAGGCAAGAUAUGAAAGCUCGCAUGGUAAUAAAAACAAAUUAUGGAACUCAUAAAGAAGGUGCUAUAAGAUAGUCUAUUCCUCUGUCUCUUUUCUGGGAGUUGGGGAGUUAGUUUACACUGGAUCAUAGAACUUGGGUGACAUUCUCCUGUCAGUUCUUAUUAGUCUGAAUGAGAGAGGUCUCUGGAAACCACCAAAGGUGUGUAUAUUAAGUCAGGGUUUUGGAUCGGGAGAAAGUUGGUUCUGUUGCAUUCUUUUACGACUGUGUGUAAGAUCAGCUCUCCAAAAAGACAAAUAAGUACUAUUAUUCUGUUAGUCUUUGCCUUUUAAGAGCAUCCGAGUUAACUGAUUCAUUUGUCAAUUUGAUUUCUACGUGAGUUGUUCUCGCAGGCCGCAGCUGUUGCACACUCUCUAUUCUCCACCUGUUAUAAGUUUAACUUGCAAGUUAAAAAUGCCACUGUUCUUCUCUUGCUGGCUGAGAUACACAAGAGGUCAGGCAAUGCUGUUUUAGGAAUUCCAUAUGCUCUGUGGCUUGCAUUUCCUUUUGUCAGUCAUUUAACUUGGAUCUUCUUAAAGCCUCCGCAACACUAACACUGGCUGAGCUAUGGCUCUCUCUUGGAUCAAAUCAUGCGAAAAAGGCUUUGGCCCUUCUACACAGCUCUUUCCCGGUACUUCUUGGUCAUGGUGGACUGGAGCUCCGGUCUCGCGCAUUUAUAACAGAGGCAAAAUGCUAUUUAGCGGAUCCAAGCUUUUCAGUUUCAGACAGUCCAGAGAUGGUGCUAGAACCUUUAAGACAAGCUUCAGAAGAACUUCAACUCUUGGAGUAUAAUGAGUUAGCAGCAGAAGCAUUCUACUUGAUGGCCAUUGUCUACAACAAGUUGGGGCAGGUGGAUGAGAGGGAAGAAGCUGCGUCUGCAUUUAGGAAGCAUAUUACAGCAUUUGAGAAUCCAGAAGACUUGGAUGAUUCCGUCUACCGUACAUUGUAAAUAAAGUUUGUGUAUGAACGUAUGUGCAUCGUAACGAUAUUGAUUGUUAUUAGCAAUCUUUAAGGAAUAAGUAUGUUUGUUUGCUGAUAUCUGUGGUGUCAGCAUGUAGUUACCAUGUUGUUGAGUAAGUUUUGAGGUAAUUCUUCCUUUUGGGAUGUGAAGUUGUGUUCUACAUAUUGUUUUAUUCA